UAAAAUAAGUGGGACACAAGACCAAAAAACUGUUGGUGGUGAUUUGAAUCUAAACUGUAAUAUCAAUGAAAAUCACAGCUUUCUUCCUUUGUGUGCUAUGUAUUUCACAGCACUUUCAUUUAUCCGCGAGCUGUGGAUGCUCAUACUCUGGAGACAAUUGCUAUUACGGUGGAAAACAAUGCUGUAAACAAUACACAUGUUUUCUUAAAGACCCUGCCAAAUCUCAAAUGGAAGGAAUAUGCCUGAGUGGGGAACGAGAAUACAAGAAGUGGAAAGCUAAGGGGAGGUAACCGUGUAUACUUUUGAUAUCCUGGUUACUAAAAGAAAAUAUUCUUGAUGCAGCCCUGUAUUAAAUAUUCAUCAACAAUAAUAAUAAUAGUUGUCAUUUUUGUGAAUUAAUAAAUAUGAUAUUAA
Long non-coding RNA from Physella acuta, 414 nucleotides. RefSeq lists it as uncharacterized. The record is from RefSeq and is a predicted model, not a curated record. NCBI's taxonomy places the organism in Eukaryota, Metazoa, Mollusca, Gastropoda, Physidae.